Molecule: long non-coding RNA, 2068 nt
Organism: Cynocephalus volans (Philippine flying lemur)
Lineage: Eukaryota; Metazoa; Chordata; Mammalia; Dermoptera; Cynocephalidae
Exons: 3
Source: RefSeq, a predicted model, not a curated record
GGGCGCGUCGCUGCAGCCGCGGGCUCCGGGCGGGCUGAAGGGAGCGGCGUGCUGGCGGUGCCUCGUGCUGCCCCGGGGUCCUCCCGCAGGCGUUUCCGUGCCGGGGAGGUCGCCCGCCUCGCUUCCAUUCUUUCGGCGUCUGCGAGGGGCGUCCCAAAGUCCACGUGACGCUCCUCUUAUGUUUUGGCAGCUGGCGCCGGGACCGAACCGGGCUUGGCGUCGCGUGCCGCGCACUCGCAGGAGCUGCGGUGGUUCUUUCUCGCACUCGCGGUGGUCAGCGCCCGGGGGACCAAGAGGGCCGCGGAGGGACCGGACGCGGCCCCCGGCCCCGGUUCCCUCGGCGUCGUCGUGGUGCCGGUUCCCCCUCCCCCGGCGCCGUUCCCGCACCACCCCCUCUGCGCCGUCCCCCGACGUGGACGGGCUCGCUCCCGCGACGGUGCCGGUGUUUACUCCCGCAGGCAUUGACAGAGUUUUGUAAAGGCGGGAGGGCCGUGCGGUGACAGAGACCCUGACACAGAUGUCGACAGGCGUCGUAAUUACUGGGUGGUGCCCGUGGUGUCGGCGUCAGUUCACACCGGGCGGGCCCGGCAGAGGAGGCUGAGACAGAUAACUUCUCCGUGUUGGAGAGAAGCAGCCGCUCCGCAGACGGCGAGGCCACAGCCCCUCAGCUCGCAGUCUCAGCCUCAGGCGUGACUCGGAGUUGUCCAGGUUCCAAGACAGCAUGCCUGCGUGGACCGUGUGGCCCGGCAGCACCUCCACCGAACACAGCGGUAUCUCUGCAGCAGGACGUGGGUGCAACGAAAAACGCCACGCACGAAUAGCCGCAUGUCAGCUCAGAUCAGGUUCUGCGGCCAGAUGAUUGAGCAGGAAGGGACUGUGGCCACCAGACCGGUCCAACUUCAAGGACAGUUGAGAAUGAUGACUUGGAUCGCGUUUGAGGUAGCAAGUAUCACAGCCCACUCCCAAAGCACCACAGGAGCAGGGCACAGGCUCAGAUAAGCCAUUUGAAGUAAAAUGUCAGAGAAACAAGGAGUAGUGAGCUCCACCUUUCGCUUGUCAGGCCUCACGAGCUGCCAUGUAAGGCAGCAGUUCUGCCGCUCAGGGAGCUGCCUCCCUUGGGCCUGAGGUCAGGGUCUGAGCUCUGACAUUCAGACUGUGUGGUGCUGGGGCAACCUCUCAGGCUCUGCACCUGAGCCACGGGGACUUGGCGUCAGACUGCCCUUCCUUGGAACUAAGAACUCAGCACUAGAUUUGAUCUUUGGUUAAUUUUUAUAUAUAUUCAUAUCACAUAUGUUGAAAUUGAGCAAUAAUUCUGCGCAAUCCUGCUCCAGCUGCCAGUUUUUCAGGAUUCCCCACCUGAGAGGAGAGAAAGAUUCUCUCCACCCACCCAGUCACUGGAGCCAGGAGCCUGUGAUCCUUCCUAGACCCCGCUUCCUUUCUCCUAAAUUUGGCUCCAGAAACAAUUCUUGAGCACUUACCAUUUGCAAUGCAUUGUAUUUGACCAUGUGGAGGUACAGGGAACAAGAAACAGCUCCCACUCUGAAAAAGGCUACAACUCCUCACAAGACAUGAUCACCCUCCCCUGCUCCUGUUGCCAGUGCCUCCCUCUUGUGCCCUACUUCAGCCUGCAGCCAGACCUCAGGGGCAUUGGGGCCUCCCUGGCUCCUGCACUUCUGAUCCUGGCUCUGGGGUGAACUUCCUAAAAUGCCAGUCUAUUCAUGUUGUUUUACCAGCUGAUUCAGAGUGAAUCACAGUACCUCCCCCAUCUGCCCUUGCAUCCCUCUUAGUUGCAUCUUCCACAUGGUCGCGGCAUCUCCCAGAGUAUGGUACAAACCAUGCUGAGAUGUUUACAAUGCACUGUGAUGCUGUCCUCUCACUCUCUCUGGUCAUUGCCUACAGUCUAGAGGACUUUGCUCAGGGGCCCCUUCCUCACUGCAGGCUCCCCAGAUCUCCACCCGGGUAGGUUCACAUUCUCUCCCCUGUGCCCUGUGUGUUCUACACACUUUCAUCUCCUCGCUGCACUUGUUUAUAGUUCUGUGUCUCCCUGAAAUAAACUCCUAAGAAAUAA